UGGGGAAUCUUGCACAAUGGGGGAAACCCUGAUGCAGCGACGCCGCGUGAGCGAUGAAGGUUUUCGAAUCGUAAAGCUCUGUCCUAUGGGAAGAUAAUGACGGUACCAUGGGAGGAAGCCCCGGCUAACUACGUGCCAGCAGCCGCGGUAAUACGUAGGGGGCGAGCGUUGUCCGGAAUUACUGGGCGUAAAGGGUUCGCAGGCGGCAUGGCAAGUCCGAUGUAAAAGGCGAAGGCUCAACCUUCGUAAGCAUCGGAAACUGUCAAGCUUGAGUGAAGGAGAGGCAAGUGGAAUUCCUAGUGUAGCGGUGGAAUGCGUAGAUAUUAGGAGGAAUACCGGUGGCGAAGGCGACUUGCUGGACUUAAACUGACGCUGAGGAACGAAAGCGUGGGUAGCAAACAGG
RNAcentral lists this ribosomal RNA (403 nucleotides) under Fusobacteriota bacterium. RNAcentral describes it as "Fusobacteria bacterium partial 16S ribosomal RNA". It matches the Rfam family "Bacterial small subunit ribosomal RNA", at positions 355 to 776 of the family's 1533-position model. Lineage: Bacteria; Fusobacteriati; Fusobacteriota. The record is from RNAcentral.